RNAcentral lists this ribosomal RNA (468 nucleotides) under uncultured bacterium. RNAcentral describes it as "partial 16S ribosomal RNA". It matches the Rfam family "Bacterial small subunit ribosomal RNA", at positions 28 to 507 of the family's 1533-position model. The record is from RNAcentral.
GACGAACGCUGGCGGCGUGCUUAACACAUGCAAGUCGAACGGAAAGGCCCUGCUUUUGUGGGGUGCUCGAGUGGCGAACGGGUGAGUAACACGUGAGUAACCUGCCCUUGACAGUGGGAUAACUUCAGGAAACUGGGGCUAAUACCGGAUAGGAGCUCCUGCUGCAUGGUGGGGGUUGGAAAGUUUCGGCGGUUGGGGAUGGACUGGCGGCUUAUCAGCUUGUUGGUGGGGUAGUGGCUUACCAAGGCUUUGAGGGGUAGCCGGCCUGAGAGGAUGACAGGACACAUUGGGAUGGAACUGAGACACAGACUCCUAUGGGAGGCAGCGGUGGAGAAUAUUGCACUAUGGGCGGAAGGCUGAUGUAGUAAAGCCGCGUGGGGGAAGAGGGGCUGCGGGUUGUAAAGCGCUUUCGCCUGUGACGAAGCGUGAGUGACGGUACUGGGUAAAGAAGCACCGGCUAACUACGUG